AGCUGCAGAAGAAGCACCGGCUAACUCCGUGCCAGCAGCCGCGGUAAUACGGAGGUGCGAGCGUUAAUCGGAAUUACUGGGCGUAAAGCGCAUGCAGGUGGUUUGUUAAGUCAGAUGUGAAAGCCCGGGGCUCAACCUCGGAAUUGCAUUUGAAACUGGCAAACUAGAGUACUGUAGAGGGGGUAGAAUUUCAGGUGUAGCGGUGAAAUGCGUAGAGAUCUGAAGGAAUACCGGUGGCGAAGGCGGCCCCCUGGACAGAUACUGACACUCAGAUGCGAAAGCGUGGGGAGCAAACAGGAUUAGAUACCCUGGUAG
RNAcentral lists this ribosomal RNA (315 nucleotides) under uncultured bacterium. Its description in RNAcentral is "bacterial SSU rRNA". It matches the Rfam family "Bacterial small subunit ribosomal RNA", at positions 477 to 793 of the family's 1533-position model. The record is from RNAcentral.